This 233-nucleotide ribosomal RNA is filed under the name uncultured bacterium. RNAcentral's name for it is "partial 16S ribosomal RNA". It matches the Rfam family "Bacterial small subunit ribosomal RNA", at positions 15 to 236 of the family's 1533-position model. The record is from RNAcentral.
GAUCAUGGCUCAGGAUGAACGCUAGCUACAGGCUUAACACAUGCAAGUCGAGGGGAAACAACAUCGAAAGCUUGCUUUUGAUGGGCGUCGACCGGCGCACGGGUGAGUAACGCGUAUCCAACCUGCCCACCACUUGGGGGAUAACCUUGCGAAAGUAAGACUAAUACCCAAUGACAUCCCACGAAGACAUCUGAAUGGGAUUAAAGAUUUAUCGGUGAUGGAUGGGGAUGCGU